AAUUAUGCCCGUAUGAUACUACGUUUUUUUCUUGUAUUUCGAGUGUAUUUUACGCUGUGUUUUGAAAGAAAGAGAAGGUCACAUACAAUUUCAGUACUUGUGUAAGCGAGUAAGCUAUAUACCAAAAAACAAACGAAAAACUAACGAAAAACAAACUAGGUUGUUAAAAACAGUCCGGCCAACUUGUAUUUCGUUAGGUUUUUUUGACAGAUGGCUGUAUUUCGUUAGUUUUUUUACACAGCUGUUUGCAUUUUGACAUACGAGAGAUUUUCUAAGCAUACAAUGGAAAUACAAGUUUUAUCUAUUGCAACAAAUUGUUUGCUAAACGCUGCUGCCUUAAUACAGCGUAGGAAAAAGAAAAAGACUAAAAAAAAAUAUUCUGCGCAAUGGCUUUUAAAAAGAGAACUGGAAGGAUUUAGCCAUAAACUGUUAAAGGAAAUUGAGUGCGAGGAUUCAAUCCUUCACAAAAAUAUCUUAAGAAUGACUCCAGCUCAGUUUGCAUUCUUAUUAGAAAAAGUACGCCCCUAUAUUAGCAAGCAGUAUACAAAAUUCAGGAACUGCAUAGGAGCUGCGGAACGGCUGCAGCUGACAUUGCGAUAUCUAUCCACUGGUAAGAUAUAAUAUUUUCUUGGUAAUUUUUAGUACCGACAGACAUAGUAUGUACAUAUUUCCAAAAUUAGGUGAAACCCAAAGGUCACUUCAAUUGCCGGUCCGAAUUCAGCAGUCAACCAUUUCCAGAAUUUUAAAGGAAUCAAUUCCCGCAAUAUAUUUGGCGUUAAGGGAUGAGUAUUUGAAAUUCCCUGCAAGUGAGCAAGAUUGGCGUGAUAUUGCAAAAGACUUUUAUCAGAUGUGGGGAUUCCCGAACUGCAUCGGCGCUUUAGAUGGUAAACUAACAAUUAACACUUUUAAAUUCACUCAACUGAUGAAACGUCUCAGGAAAGCAUUGCAGAAUACUGCCAGUGAGGUAAGCAGGAUCUACGUAUUUCAAUUACAAAGGAUACCAUUCAUUUGUAUUGAUGGCAAUCGCUGAUGCCCACUAUCGUUUUAUUUACGCUGAUGUCGGUGUUAAUGGGAGAGUGGGUGAUGCUGGAAUUUGGUUGAACUCGGACCUGAAAUACGCUAUUGAAAAAAAUGAAGUACAUAUACCAGCCCCAUGCACGCUCCCUUUCAUGUCAACUCCCUCGCCUUUUGUGCUUUUAGCCGAUGAUGCCUUUGCUCUAAAAUACUACUUAAUGAAACCUGACUCUCAUCUAAGACUAUCACCAAGCGAACUUUAAUACAACAACAUACUUUCGUUGAAAAUGCUUUUGGCAUACUUGCGAACCGUUUUCGAGUUUUAUUUUCACCCAUUCAUCGCGCUCCAGCUGCAGCCAUUCAGAUUGUAUUAUCUUGCGUAUGUGUGCACAACUUUCUAAGAACAGAAAAUGUGAAACUACGUUUGACGCCAUUUCCGAAAGUGAAAUAGAUGCAAUAAUAGAUAACAACUAUACAACAACCGCUUCUGAAAGAAAUGCGUCAAAAAGGAGCGCUAAAGAAAUAAGAAAAACUUUCGAAAACUAUUUUUCUGCGGUAAAUUAAAAUAUCGUUUCAUUGUUUAAAUAAACCAAAACUUUUCGGGUUGGAAAUUUUCCAUACCAGUAGAAGCAACAAUUGGUUUAUUUGGUGAUUAAAUAAAUGAGUACAAUGUCUUCAAUUUAUGUACAUACCUACUAGCUAAUACCUGCCUACUUAGCGCAACCAAAUAUUUUAAUGAAAGUAAUAAUAAGGUAAAAAAGUGGUAAGAAUAAUCAAAAUACAUAUUCACUCGGCAAAAUAAUAACUCUGCCUCCUUUCAGUAAAGUUUGACUAUUUUCCUUUUAUUUAUUGAACUUUAAUAAUUUACUUAUAAAAAUAUACCCCAUUAAUUAAAAAUCUUUAAACUUGGCAAUAUGUGGUGCGUUUAUAAUUAUGACACGGGAUGUAUAGUUAACUCUACAAACAAAACCAUAUCAAUAAAACUUUUAAACUUUAAACGAAAUUCAGGAAAACUCAUCAAAAUUUCGAUUUUUUUCUUUUAAAUAUUAAAAAGAACAUUGCAUGUCUGUGUAGAUGUGUAAUUUUUAUGUAAUAAAUGGGAAAUUUCAAGUGGCUUAAGAUCACCGUUAAUUUUGGGUAUUGUUUUUUUUUUUUAAGCUGAGGGCGCC
Rhagoletis pomonella (apple maggot) is the source of this 2183-nucleotide long non-coding RNA. RefSeq lists it as uncharacterized. The transcript has 3 exons. The record is from RefSeq and is a predicted model, not a curated record. Lineage: Eukaryota; Metazoa; Arthropoda; Insecta; Diptera; Tephritidae.